Molecule: microRNA precursor, 59 nt
Filed under: Xenopus laevis (African clawed frog)
Lineage: Eukaryota; Metazoa; Chordata; Amphibia; Anura; Pipidae
Description: Xla-Mir-2970-P2_pre stem-loop
Source: RNAcentral
GACAGUCAGAAGUUGGUCUGGCGUGAGAUUAGAUUCUCAGAUCAUCUCUUGGCUGAUGC